AUGACGUGCAGAAGAGUCCUUGUCGCACCCCAGGCGGGAGUGAUGCAGGCGAAAAACACACCUGAUUCCUUUGGGUCUCCAUGGCAGCAGGGCCAGAUAAUGACGCUCCAUCAGCAGGAAGAGGCUGAUCCUGUGACAGAGGGUGUUUUCAAGGUCAUAUCGCCUAGGAGCCUCUGCCUGGAUGGAAGACGAAUCUGGUAUCUAAGCUUCUCCCUUAAAGCUGUCAGUGAAGCCACUGCCAACUGGAGUGCUUCCGAGUUCCUCCUAAACUCCUGCAUAUGUGUAGUUAAGUCACUUGAAAAGAAAAUAUAAAUGGUCCAAACUCAUCAGUCCACUGUAACUGUACAUGGAGUAUUCAGUUUGCCAUUAAAUUAUGAUUAUCUUGAUUGUUCCCUAAUGUCUUUUUUCUGUCCCAGGUGUGAUUGCUGUUUAUCUUGAAUCUCGCCAGAUAGUAUGGCAAGAACUGUAAAACCCCACACCCAAAAGGCUGAAAGGACCUAAAGCCCAGUUAGAGAAAGAAUUUGAAUAUUAGUUGAUUAACAAACAGACAGGUCCAGAGAGGGGUUGGGUCAUGCAACGCCCCCCUACAUACACACAAACAAACUAUGAGCCCACAGUAUUCCAAGGACACGUUAAAACUUAAAUGACAAAUAGGAACUUGAUACAGUUCAUUCUUAAAGCCAAGGAAAUAAGGUCAUGCAUAACUAAAGACCAACAGCAAGAUAUUGCCUAAACCAUCCUUCAUUUAAACCACCUUGAGCAGGUUCUCUUGCAAGUGGAAGAGAAAGCAGAGAAAGAGAGAGAGGAACCACCAUUGCAAUGAUUUCCAAACAGGUAGAAUCAAAAGGUUGAAAUUUUCAACCAAGAGUUUUAUGUCAUUACAACAGGAGCCUCUCUUAUCUAGGACGGGAUUCCUACCGCGUGGCUGCAGUGUGAUAAAGAAGAAUCAGCUAUCAGUUUCUCACAUUAUCAUACUUCACACAUAGGCACAGUUGUCAUAACCAAUGAACCAAUAUAGAUACACUGUUUUCUUGAUUGUCCCCUA
This 1045-nucleotide long non-coding RNA is filed under the name Sus scrofa (pig). Its description in RNAcentral is "lncRNA (ENSSSCG00070025134.1)". Lineage: Eukaryota; Metazoa; Chordata; Mammalia; Artiodactyla; Suidae. The record is from RNAcentral.